RNAcentral lists this transfer RNA (72 nucleotides) under Phrynosoma platyrhinos (Desert horned lizard). Its description in RNAcentral is "tRNA-OTHER". Lineage: Eukaryota; Metazoa; Chordata; Lepidosauria; Squamata; Phrynosomatidae. The record is from RNAcentral.
GCCUUGCUGGCACAGUGGUUAAAUGCUGGUGCUGCAGCCACAAGGUUGUAAGUUCAAUCCUAGAGGAGGGCU